Molecule: ribosomal RNA, 422 nt
Filed under: uncultured bacterium
Lineage: Bacteria
Description: bacterial SSU rRNA
Rfam family: Bacterial small subunit ribosomal RNA
Source: RNAcentral
UAAGGAAUAUUGGUCAAUGGACGCAAGUCUGAACCAGCCAUGCCGCGUGAAGGAUUAAGGCCCUCUGGGUUGUAAACUUCUUUUAUAGGGGAAGAAAUGUGACGGUUCUCCGUCACUCGACGGUACCCUGGGAAUAAGCACCGGCUAACUCCGUGCCAGCAGCCGCGGUAAUACGGAGGGUGCAAGCGUUGUUCGGAAUUACUGGGCGUAAAGGGUGCGUAGGCGGCGCUCUAAGUUUGGUGUGAAAUCUCCCGGCUUAACUGGGAGGGUGCACUGAAAACUGGGGCGCUCGAGUAUGGGAGAGGAAAGCGGAAUUCCUGGUGUAGCGGUGAAAUGCGUAGAGAUCAGGAGGAACACCUGCGGUGCAGACGGCUUUCUGGACCAUCACUGACGCUGAGGCACGAAAGCGUGGGUAGCAAACA